GAUAUACUCCCUCCGUCCCAAAAUUCUUGCCUUAGAUUCCUCUAGAUAUGGAUGAUUCUAAUACUAAAACAUGACUUGAUACAUAUGUAUUUAGACAAAUCUAAAACAAGAAUUUUGGGAUGGAGGGAGUACAAU
Molecule: non-coding RNA, 135 nt
Organism: Triticum aestivum (bread wheat)
Lineage: Eukaryota; Viridiplantae; Streptophyta; Magnoliopsida; Poales; Poaceae
Source: Rfam